This is an RNA transcript of Mercenaria mercenaria, 3194 nucleotides long. It is a transcript of the gene named coiled-coil domain-containing protein 102A-like, with no coding region annotated. The record is from RefSeq and is a predicted model, not a curated record. The transcript has 9 exons. Lineage: Eukaryota; Metazoa; Mollusca; Bivalvia; Venerida; Veneridae.
UACGGUACGGGUUCGUGUACGGGUAUGAGCGAAGCAAAAUGGAGGACACAAAAAAAUAAACAAUUCACUUCUCGAUUUAUUGGUUUUAUAUAUAUAUGAGAGGUAGAAGGGUGAAAAAGGAUAUUAAAAUUUGAAUAGCACACCAUAACUAUUCGAGGAGAUUGUAAUGACAAGUCAAAAGCCAGCGCACGGGGCGGUGCCUAAGGGGGAUGUAUCCUACCUGAGGGCCACCCCAGGGCCUCAGUUCCCUGUUGCUCCUUCACCACUACCUGCAUUGGAAUCAAACCAUGUGCCAGUUGCUCCUCAGCAACACAAUGUCAACAGUGACCUGGAAGACAAGUUAGAACUUCAACAACGAGAGCUGGAGGAGAUUCGAGCCCGAGCCUCACAGAUGGAGAAAACGAUGCGCUGGUGGUCAGACUGCACAUCCAACUGGCGUGAAAAAUGGAGUAAAGUUAGAAAUGAAAGAAAUAAAGCUAGAGAAGAAAAUAGACAACUAAGAGCAAAACUUGACCUAUGUAUCAAAGAAAUUAACAGUUUAAAAAGAGAAAGAGAAGGGUUGGUAAAUACGAGCAAAGAUAAUGAUAAAAGUAAAGUAACAGAUAAACAGAUAGAACUAUCAGAUGACUCCAAAACUACCUCUAGUAACAGUUUAGAUAGUGUACAAUCAAAAUGUGAGCUCCAGAGUACCUCUGCACAGACUGAACCGUUUGUCCAGCCAAGUGCUAACUCUCCCCAAGCAGAGGCAAAACCAACCAAAGAAUCAACUACUGGUGUAAGAAGUGAUGUUUCUAAGUCUCCAGAGUGUUCAGAGACAAUAGCAGGAGAUAAACUUGCUCUUUUGGAGCUGAAGUUAGAGGAAUCACAAAAAACAAUUACAGCAGAAAGGGAAGAAAAGUCACAGCUUGCAAAGUCUUUAGAGACGAUGAGGCAUGAUGUUAAUAGUUGGAAAUCAAAGUAUGAGGAACAAAAUCAAAUUAAACAUGAUCUGGAGGUACAGGUAAGAAAAUUAAAGGACCAACACGAAGAAGAGUUAUGUCGAGUAUCUUCCGACCUUCAGGAUGAACAGUCGUCGAGGAGUACUGUAGAUAAACGACUCUCAGAACUGAGACUAGAGCUUGAAAGACUACAGAAGGAGAAUGCAGAUGAAUGGGGUAAACGAGAGAGAAUGGAGACAGAAAAACUGGCCCUUGAACGGGAAAAUAAAAAAUUACGUACACAGAUAUCUGACCUCGAAGAACAGCUGGAGAGAAAAAGCACUCAUGCUUCAACAGUGACAAAUAAAGAUAUUAAAACUCUACAGAUGGAGGUGUCAGAAAAAAAUAAGGAACUGGCUGACCUUAAACAUGUUCAUACAAAACUGAAGAAGACAUUACAAGAGCGUCUCACUGACCUGGAGCAUAGCAAGCGUCGAUGUGACCAGUUUGAGAUGGAGGUGAAAAAACUUCGGUCACGUGUAGAGGAACUGAAACGGGAACUUGCCAUGGCAGAAGAUGAGGUUGAUACACAAGCUAACAAUGUACGAAAGGUACAGAGGAACAGUGAUGAGCUUCAAGAACAGGUAGAGAAUCUCCAGGUACAACUAGAACAUCUUCAGAGCAGGUAAGUUAACAAUGUAGGUAAGGUACAGACGAACAGUGAUGAGCUGCAAGAACUGGUGGAGAAUCUCCAGGUACAACUAGAACAUCUUCAGAGCAGGUAAGUUAACAAUGUAGGUAAGGUACAGAGGAACAGUGAUGAACUGCAAGAACAGGUGGAAAAUCUUCAGGUACAACUAGAACAUCUUCAGAGCAGGUAAGUUAACAAUGUAGGUAAGGUACAGAGGAACAGUGAUGAGCUUCAAGAACAGGUAGAGAAUCUUCAGGUACAACUAGAACAUCUUCAGAGCAGGUAAGUUAACAAUGUAGGUAAGGUACAGACGAACAGUGAUGAGCUUCAAGAACUGGUGGAGAAUCCCCAGGUACAACUAGAACAUCUUCAGAGCAGGUAAGUUAACAAUGUAGGUAAGGUACAGGGGAACAGUGAUGUGCUUCAAGAACAGGUAGAGAAUCUCCAGGUACAACUAGAACAUCUUCAGAGCAGGUAAGUUAACAAGGUAGGUAAGGUACAGAGGAACAGUGAUGAGCUUCAAGAACUGGUGGAGAAUCCCCAGGUACAACUAGAACAUCUACAGAGCAGGUAAGUUAACAAUGUAGGUAAGGUACAGACGAACAGUGAUGAGCUUCAAGAACAGGUAGAGAAUCUUCAGGUACAACUAGAACAUCUACAGAGCAGAUUGAGAAGGAGUUCACAGCCAGGCUCUGGGUCACAUGCAGGUGGCCACAGGUCGUACAGUCCGGAUCUUCAGGCUCUUGAAAUAGAUGAUGACUCUGAUGAUGAUUUCAGUGAUGGCCCAUAGUAAUCUUAAGAAGUUUAUCAAAAAUUUGGCGAGUCAUGACUAGCUUACAAUAAACUCAUGCAGCAGUAUCAAGUGCAAUGAAUUACAGAUAUAUUGGAAUAUAUUCUUAAAUGUUUUCAUGUAGAUGGUUCUUUUAUGUUUUCAUAAUUAUCGUCCUUGGAAACAUUAGCCCUCUUUUUCAUUUUGUCGAAUAUACUAUUUGCUUAAAGAUAUUUCACAAAAUCAGGUAGAAACGCUUGAAGUUUUGAUAAAAGUUAGUCUUUUAACUUUAAAAGAAAAGCUAUACCAAGAGCCCAAGAAUUUUACAUUAAAGAGCAGAAAAUUUUCUGUUGUGAAUGAGAUUUGAAAGUUGUGAGGUAUUAUUUAUUUUAGGAAGUUUUUGAGUCAUUUAUGCAGUAGGCUUUAAUUAAUACAUUGUUGUUCAGAGAUACUGUUGGAGCUAGGGAAACAGUGGUUAUAUUGUAGGGAUGUCAGUGAUUGCUCAGUUAACCAUUUGAACAUCCGAUUAUUGGUGAAUGAAAUAAGUAAUCUUUUAUUCUAAUUUUAUUUACGUUUCUUCAAAAUAAUAAAAAAUUUAAAGUUCAUAAACAAUGAUCGGUCAUGUUUUAAUUUGACCAGUGUGGUUAAACAACAGUUUUAAGUUUUCAAUAUGCUUUCUCCUUCUAUAGUCAUCUUGAAAUUCUUCAUAAGACAGUGACAUUAUUGCUGUAUAUUUCUAUCAAAAAUGUUACAUACAUGUAAUAAUAGAAGACAUAUGAAAUAAUAGUCUGGUCCAAAUUUCUGUUUAGUUGAGGGG